AUGCUUUGAAAGUAAACUUUAUACUAUUUUUUUUUGGUACAUCAUGGCUUUUCGUGACAUGUGCCUCCCACAAAUCUUGUUACAAGGUCAGCACAUUACCCAUCUGACA
This 109-nucleotide small nucleolar RNA is filed under the name Neotoma lepida (desert woodrat). RNAcentral's name for it is "Small nucleolar RNA U13". It matches the Rfam family "Small nucleolar RNA U13". The record is from Rfam by way of RNAcentral. Lineage: Eukaryota; Metazoa; Chordata; Mammalia; Rodentia; Cricetidae.